CCCCUAAGUCUGGGAUACCAUUUGGAAACAGGUGCUAAUACCGGAUAAUAAAGCAGAUCGCAUGAUCAGCUUUUGAAAGGCGGCGUAAGCUGUCGCUAAGGGAUGGCCCCGCGGUGCAUUAGCUAGUUGGUAAGGUAACGGCUUACCAAGGCGACGAUGCAUAGCCGAGUUGAGAGACUGAUCGGCCACAUUGGGACUGAGACACGGCCCAAACUCCUACGGGAGGCAGCAGUAGGGAAUCUUCCACAAUGGACGCAAGUCUGAUGGAGCAACGCCGCGUGAGUGAAGAAGGUUUUCGGAUCGUAAAGCUCUGUUGUUGGUGAAGAAGGAUAGAGGUAGUAACUGGCCUUUAUUUGACGGUAAUCAACCAGAAAGUCACGGCUAACUACGUGCCAGCAGCCGCGGUAAUACGUAGGUGGCAAGCGUUGUCCGGAUUUAUUGGGCGUAAAGCGAGCGCAGGCGGAAAAAUAAGUUCUAAUGUGAAAGCCCUCGGCUUAACCGAGGAACUGCAUC
This 513-nucleotide ribosomal RNA is filed under the name uncultured bacterium. RNAcentral describes it as "bacterial SSU rRNA". It matches the Rfam family "Bacterial small subunit ribosomal RNA", at positions 129 to 627 of the family's 1533-position model. The record is from RNAcentral.